GGUGGCUCAGAGGUAGAGCAUUUGCCUUGCAUGCAUGAGACCCUGGGUUCAAUUUCUUAGCACCA
RNAcentral lists this transfer RNA (65 nucleotides) under Dipodomys ordii (Ord's kangaroo rat). It matches the Rfam family "tRNA". Rfam says of the family: Transfer RNA (tRNA) molecules are approximately 80 nucleotides in length. Their secondary structure includes four short double-helical elements and three loops (D, anti-codon, and T loops). Further hydrogen bonds mediate the characteristic L-shaped molecular structure. tRNAs have two regions of fundamental functional importance: the anti-codon, which is responsible for specific mRNA codon recognition, and the 3' end, to which the tRNAs corresponding amino acid is attached (by aminoacyl-tRNA synthetases). tRNAs cope with the degeneracy of the genetic code in two manners: having more than one tRNA (with a specific anti-codon) for a particular amino acid; and 'wobble' base-pairing, i.e. permitting non-standard base-pairing at the 3rd anti-codon position. The record is from Rfam by way of RNAcentral. Lineage: Eukaryota; Metazoa; Chordata; Mammalia; Rodentia; Heteromyidae.